RNAcentral lists this transfer RNA (73 nucleotides) under Apaloderma vittatum (bar-tailed trogon). It matches the Rfam family "tRNA". Rfam says of the family: Transfer RNA (tRNA) molecules are approximately 80 nucleotides in length. Their secondary structure includes four short double-helical elements and three loops (D, anti-codon, and T loops). The record is from Rfam by way of RNAcentral. Lineage: Eukaryota; Metazoa; Chordata; Aves; Trogoniformes; Trogonidae.
GGCUGGUUAGCUCAGUCAGUUAGAGCAUGAUGCUGGUAACAUCAAGGUCACAGGUUCGAUUCCCGUUCGGUCC